UACGUAGGGUCCGAGCGUUGUUCGGAAUUACUGGGCGUAAAGGGCGCGUAGGCGGCCUGCUAAGUCGAACGUGAAAUCCCCGGGCUCAACCCGGGAACUGCGUCCGAUACUGGUGGGCUUGAAUCCGGGAGAGGGAUGUGGAAUUCCAGGUGUAGCGGUGAAAUGCGUAGAUAUCUGGAGGAACACCGGUGGCGAAGGCGGCAUCCUGGACCGGUAUUGACGCUGAGGCGCGAAAGCCAGGGGAGCAAACGGG
RNAcentral lists this ribosomal RNA (253 nucleotides) under uncultured bacterium. RNAcentral describes it as "partial 16S ribosomal RNA". It matches the Rfam family "Bacterial small subunit ribosomal RNA", at positions 524 to 776 of the family's 1533-position model. The record is from RNAcentral.